This 213-nucleotide ribosomal RNA is filed under the name uncultured bacterium. RNAcentral describes it as "partial 16S ribosomal RNA". It matches the Rfam family "Bacterial small subunit ribosomal RNA", at positions 524 to 736 of the family's 1533-position model. The record is from RNAcentral.
UACGUAGGGUGCAAGCGUUGUCCGGAAUUAUUGGGCGUAAAGAGCGUGUAGGCGGCCCGAUUAGUCCGCUGUGAAAGUCCAGGGCUCAACCCUGGAAUGCCGGUGGAUACUGUCGGGCUAGAGUCCGGAAGGGGCGAGUGGAAUUCCUGGUGUAGCGGUGAAAUGCGCAGAUAUCAGGAGGAACACCGGUGGCGAAGGCGGGUCUCUGGGCCG